RNAcentral lists this ribosomal RNA (590 nucleotides) under Geomyces sp. 2 ANT12-048. RNAcentral's name for it is "eukaryotic LSU rRNA". The stretch from base 227 to 380 matches the Rfam family "5.8S ribosomal RNA". Lineage: Eukaryota; Fungi; Ascomycota; Leotiomycetes; Thelebolales; Pseudeurotiaceae. The record is from RNAcentral.
GAAGUAAAAGUCGUAACAAGGUUUCCGUAGGUGAACCUGCGGAAGGAUCAUUACAGUAGUCGCCCGGGUUGCCGCAAGGCCUCCCGGGUAACCUACCACCCUUUGUUUAUUACACUUUGUUGCUUUGGCAAGCCUGCCCUCGGGCUGCUGGCUCCGGCCGGCGAGCGCUUGCCAGAGGACCUAAACUCUGUUUGUCUAUACUGUCUGAGUACUAUAUAAUAGUUAAAACUUUCAACAACGGAUCUCUUGGUUCUGGCAUCGAUGAAGAACGCAGCGAAAUGCGAUAAGUAAUGUGAAUUGCAGAAUUCAGUGAAUCAUCGAAUCUUUGAACGCACAUUGCGCCCCCUGGUAUUCCGGGGGGCAUGCCUGUCCGAGCGUCAUUACAACCCUCAAGCUCAGCUUGGUGUUGGGCCCCGCCGCCCCGGCGGGCCCUAAAGUCAGUGGCGGUGCCGUCCGGCUCCGAGCGUAGUAAUUCUUCUCGCUCUGGAGGCCCGGUCGUGUGCUCGCCAGCAACCCCCAAUUUUUUUCAGGUUGACCUCGGAUCAGGUAGGGAUACCCGCUGAACUUAAGCAUAUCAAUAAGCGGAGGAA